GGUGAGAAUCACUCAUCUGCUGUCGAUGGACGCGAGGCGUGGAGCCGCGAGGCCUCCACCGUCGGCACCCGCGCCACGGCGCGCGGGCCGCCGAGCACACAGAGGAUGUCCGCGGCUACGCCCUCUAGGGAGCUGGCUGAUGUGCGGGGUGAGGAGGAGGAGGAGGCGCAGCAGGAGACAGAGAAGGAGAGGGUGAAGACCAGCUUCAACGACAGCUCUGUUAAAAUGACAGCCAUGUUACAGCCUGAACAAGAAGUUGGGGCUUCUUCAAAGAAAUCAACAUUGAUUAGCUCUUCCAUCACAAAGCGUAAAAGGCCUUCAUCCAAGGAUCAACAAACAUACUCCACUGUAGCAAAAAAGUCAAAGGCUCCUAUCCUUCCCUAACCUCAUUCUGUAGCAGGAGAGCAGCAAAGCCCUGAUCCACUAGGCUCGCACACUAUCAGGUCGUCGUCACUCCUCCACGUCCUGCCCCCACGCCCUGUUACCAUGGCAACAAUGACAAUCAUAUCACAGUCUGAACCAGAAGGUGGAGGUUCUUCAAAGAAAUCAGCAUUGGUUAGCUCUUCAAGCACAAAGCAUAAAAGGUCAAAGACAUCUACAUCGGCAAAACAACAGAACUCUCCUUCAACAUCUCCAUUGAAGAGGAGGCCUUCGGAAAAAAAUCAACAAAAACAAGCUGCAAAGAGAUUUAAGCCUCCAAUGGUGACAAGGUCUCCCAUGGUUACAAGGUCUCCAAUAAUUAUGUUAAUGGUGUCUCCUAUGGUGAUUGGGCAGAGGUCUUCACAUAGUCCAAGGAGCCCUCCAGUAUUAUCAUCCUCACCCCCUGUUGCAUCACCACCACAGUCAAACGCACAUGAUUCGGAUUCCACUUUGGCACAUAGUAAACCACGCAAGUUAAGAUCUGAGAUUUGGAUUGAUAUGGAGCCAAUUUAUCAUCAAGGAAAGGUUAUACAAGCUCGAUGCAAGCACUGCAAUGAGGUAUUCUCUGCAACACGUAAUUGUGGCAAUAGUCACAUGUUAGAGUCAGCUUUGCCAUUCAAGGAUGCUUUUCAAGAGUUAGGCCACCUAGAUCCCAACUACAUUUACUCUUGCGCACGAAGUACUUUUCCCGAGAUUCAGGAAUGGCUGUAGAAUCUAGUCUGGAUUUCCUCUCGCCUCUUGUGUAACUAAUAAGUUUUUUUUUUCUCCUUUUGCUUCUUUGUUUCUUACCCUCAGCUCUGUAAAUAACUUUUUUCCUUUGAUAAUUGGUUGCAGUAGGGGUACGGUACUCCUCGAAGAGCAAAACUUUCAUUGUCGUUGGUUGAUG
Molecule: long non-coding RNA, 1306 nt
Organism: Sorghum bicolor (sorghum)
Lineage: Eukaryota; Viridiplantae; Streptophyta; Magnoliopsida; Poales; Poaceae
Exons: 5
Source: RefSeq, a predicted model, not a curated record